This 336-nucleotide unclassified non-coding RNA is filed under the name soil metagenome. RNAcentral's name for it is "partial contains 5.8S ribosomal RNA, internal transcribed spacer 2, and large subunit ribosomal RNA". The stretch from base 1 to 120 matches the Rfam family "5.8S ribosomal RNA", at positions 35 to 154 of the family's 154-position model. The record is from RNAcentral.
GAUGAAGAACGUAGCGAAAUGCGAUAAGUAGUGUGAAUUGCAGAAUUCAGUGAAUCAUCGAAUCUUUGAACGCACAUUGCGCCCUUUGGUAUUCCUUAGGGCAUGCCUGUUCGAGCGUCAUUUGAACCCUCAAGCUCAGCUUGGUGUUGGGUGUCUGUCCCCGCCUCCGCGGGGACUCGCCUCAAAAUCAUUGGCGGCCGGUACGUUGGCUUCGAGCGCAGCAGAAACGCGAACUCGAGGCCCGGCGGAUCGGCGACCAGUACUCUCUUCUUCACAGUUUGACUUCGGAUCAGGUAGGGAUACCCGCUGAACUUAAGCAUAUCAAUAAGCGGAGGA